AACGAACGCUGGCGGCAUGCCUAACACAUGCAAGUCGAACGAGACCUUCGGGACUAGUGGCGCACGGGGGCGUAACGCGGGGGAACGUUCCCGUAGGUUCGGAAUAACACCCCGUAAGGGGUGCUAAUACCGGAUAAUGUCUGCUAACCAAAGAUACGUCGCCCUGGGAUGGGCCCGCGUUGGAUUAGCUUGGUGGUAGGGUAAGAGCCUACCAAGGCUACGAUCCUUAGCUGGUCUGAGAGGCAGGGCAGCCACACUGGGGCUGAGCCACGGCCGGGAAUCUUAGGGAAGGGAGGAGUGCGGAAUACAGGAAGAUGGGGGGAGGGCUGAUCCAGCAAGGCCGGGUAAGUGAUGAUGGGGGUAGAGAAGUGCAGCUCGUUUACACGGCGCGAUAAUGACGGUACCGGGAGAAUAAGCACCGGCUAACUCCGUG
RNAcentral lists this ribosomal RNA (433 nucleotides) under uncultured bacterium. RNAcentral's name for it is "partial 16S ribosomal RNA". It matches the Rfam family "Bacterial small subunit ribosomal RNA", at positions 29 to 507 of the family's 1533-position model. The record is from RNAcentral.